This 253-nucleotide ribosomal RNA is filed under the name uncultured bacterium. RNAcentral describes it as "partial 16S ribosomal RNA". It matches the Rfam family "Bacterial small subunit ribosomal RNA", at positions 524 to 776 of the family's 1533-position model. The record is from RNAcentral.
UACGUAGGGGGCAAGCGUUGUCCGGAAUUAUUGGGCGUAAAGCGCGUGUAGGCGGCUCGGUAAGUCUGCUGUGAAAGUCCAAGGCUCAACCUUGGAAAGCCGGUGGAUACUGUCGAGCUCGAGUCCGGAAGAGGCGAGUGGAAUUCCUGGUGUAGCGGUGAAAUGCGCAGAUAUCAGGAGGAACACCAAUUGCGAAGGCAGCUCGCUGGGACGUAACUGACGCUGAGACGCGAAAGCGUGGGGAGCAAACAGG